AGAAAUCUUUUUUCGGGCCAUUCCCCCUACCUCAAAUUAAUAUCAAUCACUAUUUAGAAAAUGGAUUUUUUUGUUUUGGCAAGACCAUGAGAGCUUUUACUGGGCAAGAAGACAAGAGAUGGAGAGUCCAGCCGGGCCUGCGCUUAAGUGCGCGGUCUUGCUAGGCUUGUAAGUUUCUUUCUUGCUAUUCCAAACGGUGAGAGAUUUCUGUGCUUUUGUUAUAGGACAAUUAAAACCGUUUCAAUACAACACACUGUGGAGUUUUCAUAUCUUUGCAACUUUUUCUUUGGGCAUUCGAGCAAUCGGGGCCCAGAGGUAACAAACACAAACAAUUUUAUUUAUUCAUUAAAUUUUUGUCAAAAACAAGAAUUUUCGUAACUGGAAAUUUUAAAAUAUUAAAAACUUUCAACAACGGAUCUCUUGGUUCUCGCAUCGAUGAAGAACGCAGCGAAAUGCGAUACGUAAUGUGAAUUGCAGAAUUCCGUGAAUCAUCGAAUCUUUGAACGCACAUUGCGCCCCUUGGUAUUCCAGGGGGCAUGCCUGUUUGAGCGUCAUUUCCUUCUCAAACAUUCUGUUUGGUAGUGAGUGAUACUCUUUGGAGUUAACUUGAAAUUGCUGGCCUUUUCAUUGGAUGUUUUUUUUCCAAAGAGAGGUUUCUCUGCGUGCUUGAGGUAUAAUGCAAAGUACGGUCGUUUUAGGUUUUACCAACUGCGGCUAAUCUUUUUUAUACUGAGCGUAUUGGAACGUUAUCGAUAAGAAGAGAGCGUCUAGGCGAACAAUGUUCUUAAAGUUUGACCUCAAAUCAGGUAGGAGUACCCGCUGAACUUAAGCAUAUCAAUAAGCGGAGGAAAAGAAACCAACCGGGAUUGCCUUAGUAACGGCGAGUGAAGCGGCAAAAGCUCAAAUUUGAAAUCUGGUACCUUCGGUGCCCGAGUUGUAAUUUGGAGAGGGCAACUUUGGGGCCGUUCCUUGUCUAUGUUCCUUGGAACAGGACGUCAUAGAGGGUGAGAAUCCCGUGUGGCGAGGAGUGCGGUUCUUUGUAAAGUGCCUUCGAAGAGUCGAGUUGUUUGGGAAUGCAGCUCUAAGUGGGUGGUAAAUUCCAUCUAAAGCUAAAUAUUGGCGAGAGACCGAUAGCGAACAAGUACAGUGAUGGAAAGAUGAAAAGAACUUUGAAAAGAGAGUGAAAAAGUACGUGAAAUUGUUGAAAGGGAAGGGCAUUUGAUCAGACAUGGUGUUUUGUGCCCUCUGCUCCUUGUGGGUAGGGGAAUCUCGCAUUUCACUGGGCCAGCAUCAGUUUUGGUGGCAGGAUAAAUCCAUAGGAAUGUAGCUUGCCUCGGUAAGUAUUAUAGCCUGUGGGAAUACUGCCAGCUGGGACUGAGGACUGCGACGUAAGUCAAGGAGCGGAUAUAGAAAGGAAGAGAAUUUAAAAUUA
Molecule: ribosomal RNA, 1432 nt
Filed under: Saccharomyces cerevisiae (brewer's yeast)
Lineage: Eukaryota; Fungi; Ascomycota; Saccharomycetes; Saccharomycetales; Saccharomycetaceae
Description: eukaryotic LSU rRNA
Rfam family: Eukaryotic large subunit ribosomal RNA (bases 793-1432)
Source: RNAcentral